GAUGAACGCUGGCGGCGUGCCUAAUACAUGCAAGUCGAGCGAACAGACGAGGAGCUUGCUCCUCUGACGUUAGCGGCGGACGGGUGAGUAACACGUGGAUAACCUACCUAUAAGACUGGGAUAACUUCGGGAAACCGGAGCUAAUACCGGAUAAUAUAUUGAACCGCAUGGUUCAAUAGUGAAAGACGGUUUUGCUGUCACUUAUAGAUGGAUCCGCGCCGCAUUAGCUAGUUGGUAAGGUAACGGCUUACCAAGGCAACGAUGCGUAGCCGACCUGAGAGGGUGAUCGGCCACACUGGAACUGAGACACGGUCCAGACUCCUAAGGGAGGCAGCAGUAGGGAAUUUUCCGCAAUGGGCGAAAGCCUGACGGAGCAACGGCGCGGGAGUGAUGAAGGUCUUCGGAUCGGAAAACUCUGUUAUUAGGGAAGAACCAAUGUGUAAGUAACUAUGCACGUCUUGACGGUACCUAAUCAGAAAGCCACGGCUAACUACGUG
This 497-nucleotide ribosomal RNA is filed under the name uncultured bacterium. RNAcentral's name for it is "partial 16S ribosomal RNA". It matches the Rfam family "Bacterial small subunit ribosomal RNA", at positions 28 to 507 of the family's 1533-position model. The record is from RNAcentral.